Molecule: ribosomal RNA, 841 nt
Filed under: uncultured Bacteroidota bacterium
Lineage: Bacteria; Pseudomonadati; Bacteroidota
Description: bacterial SSU rRNA
Rfam family: Bacterial small subunit ribosomal RNA
Source: RNAcentral
GCCUAAUACAUGCAAGUCGAACGGCAGCACGGACUUCGGUCUGGUGGCGAGUGGCGAACGGGUGAGUAAUGUAUCGGAACGUGCCUAGUAGCGGGGGAUAACUACGCGAAAGCGUAGCUAAUACCGCAUACGCCCUACGGGGGAAAGCAGGGGAUCGCAAGACCUUGCACUAUUAGAGCGGCCGAUAUCGGAUUAGCUAGUUGGUGGGGUAACGGCUCACCAAGCCGACGAUCAGUAACUGGCGUGAGAGCGCGACCAGUCACACGGGCACUGAGACACGGGCCCGACUCCUACGGGAGGCAGCAGUAAGGAAUAUUGGUCAAUGGACGCAAGUCUGAACCAGCCAUGCCGCGUGGAGGAUGAAGGUCCUCUGGAUUGUAAACUUCUUUUAUCUGGGAAGAAAUGCCGAUUUUCUAAUUGGUUUGACGGUACCAGAUGAAUAAGCACCGGCUAACUCCGUGCCAGCAGCCGCGGUAAUACGGAGGGUGCAAGCGUUAUCCGGAUUCACUGGGUUUAAAGGGUGCGUAGGCGGAAUUGUAAGUCCGUGGUGAAAUCUCCGAGCUUAACUCGGAAACUGCCGUGGAUACUAUAGUUCUUGAAUGUUGUGGAGGUUUGCGGAAUAUGUCAUGUAGCGGUGAAAUGCUUAGAUAUGACAUAGAACACCGAUUGCGAAGGCAGCAGGCUACACAAAUAUUGACGCUGAGGCACGAAAGCGUGGGGAUCAAACAGGAUUAGAUACCCUGGUAGUCCACGCCCUAACGAUGUCAACUAGCUGUUGGGGCUCGGGCUUGGUAGCGCAGCUAACGCGUGAAGUGACGCUGGGGAGUACGUCGCAGAUAAA